Molecule: ribosomal RNA, 1392 nt
Filed under: uncultured beta proteobacterium
Lineage: Bacteria; Pseudomonadati; Pseudomonadota; Betaproteobacteria
Description: bacterial SSU rRNA
Rfam family: Bacterial small subunit ribosomal RNA
Source: RNAcentral
GAGUUUGAUCCUGGCUCAGAUUGAACGCUGGCGGUAUGCUUUACACAUGCAAGUCGAACGGUAACAGGGAGCUUGCUCCGCUGACGAGUGGCGAACGGGUGAGUAAUAUAUCGGAACGUACCCAAGAGUGGGGGAUAACGUAGCGAAAGUUACGCUAAUACCGCAUACGAUCUAAGGAUGAAAGCAGGGGACCUUCGGGCCUUGUGCUCCUGGAGCGGCCGAUAUCUGAUUAGCUAGUUGGUGAGGUAAAGGCUCACCAAGGCGACGAUCAGUAGCUGGUCUGAGAGGACGACCAGCCACACUGGAACUGAGACACGGUCCAGACUCCUACGGGAGGCAGCAGUGGGGAAUUUUGGACAAUGGGCGCAAGCCUGAUCCAGCAAUGCCGCGUGAGUGAAGAAGGCCUUCGGGUUGUAAAGCUCUUUUGUCAGGGAAGAAACGGUGAAGGCUAAUAUCCUUUGCUAAUGACGGUACCUGAAGAAUAAGCACCGGCUAACUACGUGCCAGCAGCCGCGGUAAUACGUAGGGUGCAAGCGCUAAUCGGAAUUACUGGGCGUAAAGCGUGCGCAGGCGGUUUUGUAAGUCUGAUGUGAAAUCCCCGGGCUCAACCUGGGAAUUGCAUUGGAGACUGCAAGGCUAGAAUCUGGCAGAGGGGGGUAGAAUUCCACGUGUAGCAGUGAAAUGCGUAGAGAUGUGGAGGAACACCGAUGGCGAAGGCAGCCCCCUGGGUCAAGAUUGACGCUCAUGCACGAAAGCGUGGGGAGCAAACAGGAUUAGAUACCCUGGUAGUCCACGCCCUAAACGAUGUCUACUAGUUGUCGGGUUUUAAUUAACUUGGUAACGCAGCUAACGCGUGAAGUAGACCGCCUGGGGAGUACGGUCGCAAGAUUAAAACUCAAAGGAAUUGACGGGGACCCGCACAAGCGGUGGAUGAUGUGGAUUAAUUCGAUGCAACGCGAAAAACCUUACCUACCCUUGACAUGGAAGGAAUCCCGAAGAGAUUUGGGAGUGCUCGAAAGAGAACCUUCACACAGGUGCUGCAUGGCUGUCGUCAGCUCGUGUCGUGAGAUGUUGGGUUAAGUCCCGCAACGAGCGCAACCCUUGUCAUUAGUUGCUACAUUUAGUUGAGCACUCUAAUGAGACUGCCGGUGACAAACCGGAGGAAGGUGGGGAUGACGUCAAGUCCUCAUGGCCCUUAUGGGUAGGGCUUCACACGUCAUACAAUGGUACAUACAGAGGGCCGCCAACCCGCGAGGGGGAGCUAAUCCCAGAAAGUGUAUCGUAGUCCGGAUCGUAGUCUGCAACUCGACUACGUGAAGUUGGAAUCGCUAGUAAUCGCGGAUCAGCAUGCCGCGGUGAAUACGUUCCCGGGUCUUGCACACACCGCCCGUC